GUCGAACGGCAGCACGGACUUCGGUCUGGUGGCGAGUGGCGAACGGGUGAGUAAUGUAUCGGAACGUGCCUAGUAGCGGGGGAUAACUACGCGAAAGCGUAGCUAAUACCGCAUACGCCCUACGGGGGAAAGCAGGGGAUCGCAAGACCUUGCACUAUUAGAGCGGCCGAUAUCGGAUUAGCUAGUUGGUGGGGUAACGGCUCACCAAGGCGACGAUCCGUAGCUGGUUUGAGAGGACGACCAGCCACACUGGGACUGAGACACGGCCCAGACUCCUACGGGAGGCAGCAGUGGGGAAUUUUGGACAAUGGGGGAAACCCUGAUCCAGCCAUCCCGCGUGUGCGAUGAAGGCCUUCGGGUUGUAAAGCACUUUUGGCAGGAAAGAAACGUCAUGGGCUAAUACCCCGUGAAACUGACGGUACCUGCAGAAUAAGCACCGGCUAACUACGUGCCAGCAGCCGCGGUAAUACGUAGGGUGCAAGCGUUAAUCGGAAUUACUGGGCGUAAAGCGUGCGCAGGCGGUUCGGAAAGAAAGAUGUGAAAUCCCAGAGCUCAACUUUGGAACUGCAUUUUUAACUACCGAGCUAGAGUGUGUCAGAGGGAGGUGGAAUUCCGCGUGUA
RNAcentral lists this ribosomal RNA (621 nucleotides) under Achromobacter sp. AR7. RNAcentral describes it as "bacterial SSU rRNA". It matches the Rfam family "Bacterial small subunit ribosomal RNA", at positions 61 to 677 of the family's 1533-position model. Lineage: Bacteria; Pseudomonadati; Pseudomonadota; Betaproteobacteria; Burkholderiales; Alcaligenaceae. The record is from RNAcentral.